RNAcentral lists this ribosomal RNA (116 nucleotides) under Rhizophydiales sp. ARG027. RNAcentral describes it as "5.8S ribosomal RNA". The record is from RNAcentral. Lineage: Eukaryota; Fungi; Chytridiomycota; Chytridiomycetes; Rhizophydiales. RNAcentral also lists the same sequence under 2 other names.
GAAUCUAUUGUAUUCAUUUUUCUAUAAUUAUUUUGAAAAAGAUUUUUAUAGAAAAGAAUUGUCAAUGAUGAAUUUUUGCAUAAAGAAUUCAACUUGAUAAAAUAGAGUUAUUGAAG